Molecule: ribosomal RNA, 1076 nt
Filed under: Hygroamblystegium varium
Lineage: Eukaryota; Viridiplantae; Streptophyta; Bryopsida; Hypnales; Amblystegiaceae
Description: eukaryotic LSU rRNA
Rfam family: Eukaryotic large subunit ribosomal RNA
Source: RNAcentral
GAGAAGWAACUAACCAGGAUUUCCCUAGUAACGGCGAGCGAACCGGAAAGAGCCCAGCUUGAAAAUCGUGGUGCCUCGCACCUCGAAUUGUAGUCUGGAGAAGGUCCCUCUGCGACGCGCCGGACCCAAGUUCCCUGGAAAGGGACGUCAUCGAGGGUGACAACCCCGUCCGCGCCCGGAACGCGUCGCUCCACGAGGACCUGUCUGCGAGUCGGGCUGUUUGGGAAUGCAGCCCUAAGCGGGAGGUAAAUUCCUUCCAAGGCUAAAUAUGGGCAAGAGACCGAUAGCGAACAAGUACCGCGAGGGAAAGAUGAAAAGGACUUUGAAAAGAGAGUUAAAAAGUGCUUGAAAUUGCUGGGAGGGAAGCGAAUGGAAGCUGCGGGUGCGCCCCGGUUGGAUGUGGAACGGCUUCGGCUGGUCCGCCGCUCAACGCGGGGCGCUGGUCAGCGUGGGCCACGGCGCCGGGACAAGAGCGGGGAUUCGCUUCCCGCCUAUGCCGGUGCGGUGGCCGAGGCACGAAGCGCGCGCCGCAAGGCGUGGGUUCGCCCAACUGCGCGCUCGGGACGCUGGCGUAUUGAGCUCUUCAUCCGACCCGUCUUGAAACACGGACCAAGGAGUCUAACAUGUAUGCGAGCCGGUGGGCGGCAAACCCAUUGAGGCGCAAGUAAACUGACAGGUGGGACCCCGACCGUGAGGGAGGGAGCACCAUCGACCGACCGUGAUCUUCUGUGAAAGGUUUGAGUGUGAGCAUACCUGUUGGGACCCGAAAGAUGGUGAACUAUGCCUGAGCAGGGCGAAGCCAGAGGAAACUCUGGUGGAGGCUCGUAGCGAUACUGACGUGCAAAUCGUUCGUCAGACUUGGGUAUAGGGGCGAAAGACUAAUCGAACCAUCUAGUAGCUGGUUCCCUCCGAAGUUUCCCUCAGGAUAGCUGGAGCUCGUGUACAAGUUUUAUCAGGUAAAGCGAAUGAUUAGAGGCAUCGGGGGUGUAACACCCUCGACCUAUUCUCAAACUUUAAAUAGGUAAGCCGCCGGGGUUGCUUGGUUGAACCCCGGCACAGAAUGAGAGCUCCAAGUG